CCAGCAUCCCUGGGCAGCCCGUUCCAGGCUGUUGCCUGGGCCAAAAUACAUGUGUCAAGCACACACGGAAAGACACAUGGUCAAAGGGGAAUGUCAAAUAUUGCUAUUCCAACCCCCAAUAAUUUGAUUUUUGUUUUCCCAAAGGAAGUGAGGAGGUAUUAAGUAUUCUCUAUCUCCUAUGGCUUAUGUUUAAAAUUAGGCACCCCCAAAGAAGAUACACUUGAUUAGGCACCCCCAAAGAAGAUACAUUUGAUAGGUUUUUCUAAAAGCAAUAACCUGGCUGUUAUGCCUGGUUGUGUCUCUUACCUUGUGUGACAAUUGCCUGCUGUUUUGCUGUGGGAAAUACUUAGAGACCCUUGCUGCCAUAUCCAUGAUAUUGUUACAUUAUUGCAGUGGAGACCUUAUUCAGAAGGAGAAAGUUUGCUCUGGAGCUAAGGAACGCCCAUCAAAAAUUCAAUUUCUUUAUGACCUCAGUUUUUCUUGUGGGAAUGACAGCUUCAUAAGGAUGUUUUGACAUUUUAAAGAUUGAUGUACUCAGAUGCGAGCCUUUGGCUGUCCAAAAAGGAGGUUUGUGUAAGUACCUAAAGUUACAAAAACCUGUCCUUACAGUUACCAAAGAAGCAGAGGUCCCAUACUUGUAUGUUCUCCAUACUUGCUCUGUUGAUGAUGUCCCUAAAUCUACAAGCAAUAGAUGUGGAUCUACAAGCAGACAAAAUGCAUUCUGAAACAUUUAGCUAAAGGAUUGAGUUCAGUGAACAACAGCUGAAUGCCAGAGCAUGUAGAAGUGAAAAAGGCUAGUUUCAUUCAUGAAUGUGCCAAGACAUGAAUCAACAGUAAUUGAAAGCUUGUAGAUCCUUCCAAUAUUUCAAUUAAUGACUAGGAUGGUGCUCAUUCCAUUUCUGUUUGACAUGAAGCCAGGAAGGACUGAUGGUGCACUGCAAGGCAGUCCAGCUUGUACAGUAGCAUCACAUCAAAACAGGUCAGAGGGACUGAAGAUUCCGGACAAGUUGGAAAUUCCCUGUAAGACCAACUGGGCAGCCAAGCAUGCCCCAACCCACAAUAAAUCUAACACUGAAGGUGUCUUAUAUACUCCUAUAUUAA
Long non-coding RNA from Passer domesticus (house sparrow), 1101 nucleotides. RefSeq lists it as uncharacterized. The transcript has 3 exons. NCBI's taxonomy places the organism in Eukaryota, Metazoa, Chordata, Aves, Passeriformes, Passeridae. The record is from RefSeq and is a predicted model, not a curated record.